CCCUUAGAUGUUCUGGGCCGCACGCGUGCUACACUGACCGGCGCAACAAGUUUCUUUCCUUGGCUCGAUAGGCCUGGGUAAUCUUUGAACGCCGGUCGUGAUGGGGAUAGAUCCUUGCAAUUUUUGAUCUUCAACGAGGAAUUCCUAGUAAAUGCGAGUCAUCAUCUCGCGUUGAUUACGUCCCUGCCCUUUGUACACACCGCCCGUCGCUUCUACCGAUUGAGUGUUCCGGUGAAUUAUUCUGAUCACUUCAUGUGAAAAGUUUUGUAAACCUUAACACUUAGAGGAAGGAGAAGUCGUAACA
RNAcentral lists this ribosomal RNA (304 nucleotides) under uncultured eukaryote. RNAcentral's name for it is "partial 18S ribosomal RNA". It matches the Rfam family "Eukaryotic small subunit ribosomal RNA", at positions 1470 to 1796 of the family's 1831-position model. The record is from RNAcentral.